CCCCUUCUCAGUCCUCACACGUUCUCUUCCUCUCUCUCUCUCUCACUCUUUCUCUCCUCUCCCUCUCUUUCUCUUCCUCUCUCGGCGCCCCCGUCGCUCGGGCUGCCCUCCGCGCGCGGCCGCUCCUCCCCGGUGGUGGUGGCGGCGGCGGCGGCGACCCCGACGACGACGACGCCGACCCCGACGACGGCGACGACGAGUGGGCGACGAUGACGACGACGCGGGUGGUGCCGGCGGCGGAUGGCGACCUCGGGCAGGAGCGGCGAUGGCGUCGGCGGGCGGCGGAUCCGGCGGCGCCGCCCUCGGGAGGGCCGGAUCCGCCGCCAUAGGGAGCGGCUACGGCGGCGACGGGCGGCGGCUCGGCGACCUCGGCUCGGCGGCCCGCCAUCCCCUCCUCACCGCUGCUGACAACGACGAUGAUAAGGCGACCCUCCCCCCUCCUCAACACCGCGGCGGCGGGGCGGCUCGGCCGCCCCGCGCGGAUCCGGUGCCGCCGACGAUAAGAAAUGUGUGAUGUGCAGGUGGAGAUAAUCAGAGGAAUAUGACAAAUUAUGUUAGGGUUUUAGUAACUGGGUGGUGAGAUCUGAAGAAGGUAGUAACUGGGUGGUGAAAACUAUUCCUUUUUUUCCAAGGUUAGCACGCACAAUGAUCUAGCUAUCUAUAUAAACAAUAGUCUCAGCACUUCUGUUUAAAUUACAACUUUUUGGUCUUGUAUAAUUACAUGUGCUCACCUUUUAUGACAAAGGUGAUUCUUAUUCUCUUUGGGAUGUUAGCUUUUACAUAGAAGGGUACUUUUAAGUUCUGAUAUAAAUAACUUAUGUGUUGGGUACUUGUAGCUGCAUUUUGUUAGUGUGAUCAGAUAUAUAGGGCUGGAAGUGCUUUGUGUAGCAUCAUGACCUUAAUGAUGACUACAGAACAUUAGUUAAAUCUUUCACACAUCCCAGAAAUCUUCCUAGCACAUAUCCAAUAUAAUAAUAGAGCAUAAAAAAUUAGCCAUGGUUUCAUGUUUGGGUUCUACUGAAAUCAGAUCCAUGUAACUACCCUGUAAUCUGAACCGAAAACAUACCCAAUAGUAGCUUCAUAAUAUGUGUUCACCAUAUAUGAUUUUUUUUAUCAUCCACACUUUACUGUUACAAUGGCUGAAAAUCUGUCGAUAAAGCACUACGUACACAUCCAAUUGAGUUUGCAAUUCAGUUUGUUUUGUCGUAGAGGGAAGGGGGAGGGGUUCUGCUUGCAGUAGGCUUACAUUACUAUGCAUAUGUCUCACAUGUCUUGGCAUGUAUAACUCUAUUGUUUUGAUUUGCUAUGCCUAUGUUCUCUUUCUAUUUAGGUACUUACUAGUACUAUAUGUUCAAUUUGCAAUGCCUAUGCCUAUGCCUGUGCCUCAAUUUGCAAUGCAGGGGUUCAAAGCUUUGUAUGGCCACAUGCGGGGGUUCAAAGUUUUGUAUGGUUGUGGUUACAAAUACUGUGCUACUAAUGUUUGCUUUUCUAUAGGACAAGUGUGAAAGAAACUUAACCAUGAGAAUGUUCCAUACUAUUCUACUGUUCCAUGUUCCUUUUAACUGUGAAACACAGCAAAGGACAGGAUCUCAUUGACAUGCCAUGAGGUAAGGUUUGUUGUCUUGCUGAUUCAUGAAGAGAUGGCAGUAUGUUGGUGUGAUUUCGAUACGUGACAUUGUGUUUGGUAAGUGAACCUAUGAUUGUAUUUGGACAUGGUUGGGUCGGCCCAUGUGGACAUGUGACUUUGUUUUGGUCAGUGACUUAUGGCUGGAUAUGCAUGGUCAAUGUACUGAUGUAUUUUGUUUUGGCAAGUUACCUUGUAAUCUAUUUUUUUAUCAAACUUGUGAUUGUAUUUGAAUAUGUGAAUGGGUCGGCCCAUAUGUAUUUGCAAUGUAUCAUAUGUGAACUGAAUUUUAUUGGAUUUUAACUGGGCUACAAUCUUUGUGCUA
Molecule: non-coding RNA, 1949 nt
Organism: Oryza sativa Japonica Group (Japanese rice)
Lineage: Eukaryota; Viridiplantae; Streptophyta; Magnoliopsida; Poales; Poaceae
Source: RefSeq, a predicted model, not a curated record